UACGGAGGGUGCAAGCGUUAUCCGGAUUUAUUGGGUUUAAAGGGUACGUAGGCGGCCAGAUAAGUCAGUGGUGAAAGUCAGCAGCUUAACUGUUGAACUGCCAUUGAUACUGCUUGGCUUGAGUGCAGUUGAGGUGGGUGGAAUUCCAUGUGUAACGGUGAAAUGCUUAGAUAUAUGGAGGAACACCGAUAACGAAGGUAACUCACUAAACUGUAACUGACGCUGAGGUACGAAAGCGUGGGGAGCAAACGGG
This 253-nucleotide ribosomal RNA is filed under the name uncultured bacterium. RNAcentral describes it as "partial 16S ribosomal RNA". It matches the Rfam family "Bacterial small subunit ribosomal RNA", at positions 524 to 776 of the family's 1533-position model. The record is from RNAcentral.